Molecule: ribosomal RNA, 488 nt
Filed under: uncultured bacterium
Lineage: Bacteria
Description: partial 16S ribosomal RNA
Rfam family: Bacterial small subunit ribosomal RNA
Source: RNAcentral
GACGAACGCUGGCGGCGUGCUUAACACAUGCAAGUCGAACGGAAAGGCCCUGCUUUUGUGGGGUGCUCGAGUGGCGAACGGGUGAGUAACACGUGAGUAACCUGCCCUUGACUUUGGGAUAACUUCAGGAAACUGGGGCUAAUACCGGAUAGGAGCUCCUGCUGCAUGGUGGGGGUUGGAAAGUUUCGGCGGUUGGGGAUGGACUCGCGGCUUAUCAGCUUGUUGGUGGGGUAGUGGCUUACCAAGGCUUUGACGGGUAGCCGGCCUGAGAGGGUGACCGGCCACAUUGGGACUGAGAUACGGCCCAGACUCCUACGGGAGGCAGCAGUGGGGAAUAUUGCACAAUGGGCGGAAGCCUGAUGCAGCAACGCCGCGUGCGGGAUGACGGCCUUCGGGUUGUAAAACUCUGUUAUUAGGGAAGAACAAAUGUGUAAGUAACUAUGCACGUCUUGACGGUACCUAAUCAGAAAGCCACGGCUAACUACGUG